GCUGGGCAUGGUGGCACGUGCCUGUAGUCCCAGCUACUCGGGAGGCUGAGGUGGGAGGAUCGCUUGAGCCCAGGAGUUCUGGCCUGUAGUGCACUAUGCUAUGCCUAUCGGUGUCCACACUAAGUUCGGCAUCACUAUGGUGACCUCCCAGGAGCAGGGGACCACCGGGUUGCCUAAGGAGGGGUGAACCAGCCCAGGUCAGAAACCGAGCAGGUCAGAACUCCCGUGCUGAUCAGUAGUGGGAUUGUGCCUGUGAAUAGCCACUGCACUCCAGCCUGGUCAACAUAGUGAGACCCCAUCUCU
RNAcentral lists this signal recognition particle RNA (303 nucleotides) under Saimiri boliviensis boliviensis (Bolivian squirrel monkey). RNAcentral describes it as "Metazoan signal recognition particle RNA (ENSSBOG00000008069.1)". It matches the Rfam family "Metazoan signal recognition particle RNA". Rfam says of the family: The signal recognition particle (SRP) is a universally conserved ribonucleoprotein. It is involved in the co-translational targeting of proteins to membranes. The record is from RNAcentral. Lineage: Eukaryota; Metazoa; Chordata; Mammalia; Primates; Cebidae.